ACUCCUACGGGAGGCAGCAGUGGGGAAUAUUGCACAAUGGGCGCAAGCCUGAUGCAGCCAUGCCGCGUGUAUGAAGAAGGCCUUCGGGUUGUAAAGUACUUUCAGCAGUGAGGAAGGUGGAUAUGUUAAUAGCAUAUUCAUUUGACGUUAGCUGCAGAAGAAGCACCGGCUAACUCCGUGCCAGCAGCCGCGGUAAUACGGAGGGUGCGAGCGUUAAUCGGAAUUACUGGGCGUAAAGCGCAUGCAGGUGGUUUGUUAAGUCAGAUGUGAAAGCCC
This 276-nucleotide ribosomal RNA is filed under the name uncultured bacterium. RNAcentral's name for it is "partial 16S ribosomal RNA". It matches the Rfam family "Bacterial small subunit ribosomal RNA", at positions 335 to 603 of the family's 1533-position model. The record is from RNAcentral.